CAGAUUGAACGCUGCGGGAUGCUUUAUACAUGCAAGUCGAACGGGCAACACGGACUUCCUCGGUCUGGUGGCGGAAAAGGAACGGGUGAGUAAUGUAUCGGAACGUGCCUAGUAGCGGGGGAUAACUACGCUGCUGUAGCUAAUACCGCAUACGUUCUUCGGGGGAAAGCGGGGGACCUUCGGGCCUCGCACUAUUAGAGCGCCGAUAUCGGAUUAGCUAGUUGGUGGGAUAACGGCUCACCAAGGCGACGAUCCGUAGCUGGUUUGAGAGGACGACCAGCCACACUGGGACUGAGACACGGCCCAGACUCCUACGGAGGCAGCAGUGGGGAAUUUUGGACAAUGGGGGAAAUGAUCCAGCCAUCCCGCGUGUGCGAUGAAGGCCUUCGGGUUGUAAAGCACUUUUGGCAGGAGAAGAAACGGCACGGAUAAUACCUGCAACUGAUGGCACCUGCAGAAUGCUACCGCGGCUAACUACGUGCCAGCAGCCGCGGGGACACAGGUGCAAGCAAGUAAUCGGACUACUGGGCGUAAAGGUGCGCAGCAGGCGGUUCGGAAAGAAAGAUGUGAAAUCCCAGAGCUGAAUUGGAACUGCAUUUUGACCACCGAGCUAGAGUGUAUCAGAGGGAGGUGGAAUUCCGCGUGUAGCAGUGAAUGCGUAGAUAUGCGGAGGAACACCGAUGGCGAAGGCAGCCUCCUGAUAACACUGACGCUCAUGCACGAAAGCGUGGGGAGCAAACAGGAUUAGAUACCCUGGUAGUCCACGCCCUGCAAAACGAUGUCAACUAGCUGUUGGGGCCUUCGGGCUCGGUAGCGCAGCUAACGCGUGAAGUUGACCGCCUGUGAGCAUGGUCAAAAGAUUAAAACUCAAAAGGAAAUUAGCGACGGGGACCCGCAAGCGGUGGAUGAUGUGGAUUAAUUCGAUGCAACGCGAAAACCUUACCUACCCUUGACAUGUCUGGAAUCCCGAAGAGAUUUGGGAGUGCUCGCAAGAGAACCGGAACACAGGUGCUGCAUGGCUGUCAGCGAAGCUGUAUCGUGAGAUGUUGGGUUAAGUCCCGGCAACGAGCGCAACCCUUGUCAUUAGUUGCUACGAAAGGGCACUCUAAUGAGACUGCCGGUGACAAACCGAGGAAGGUGGGGACGACGUCAAAACCCUCAUGGCCCUUAUGGGUAGGGCUUCACACGUCAUACAAUGGUCGGGACAGAGGGUCGCCAACCCGCGAGGGGAGCCAAUCCCAGAAACCCGAUCGUAAAUCCGGAUCGCAGUUCGUAACCGACUGCGUGAAGUCGGAAUCGCUAGUAAUCGCGGAUCACAUGUCGCGGUGAAUACGUUCCCGGGUCUUGUACACACCGCCCGUCACACCAUGGGGAGUGGGUUUUACCAGAAGUAGUUAGCCUAACCAAGGAGGGCGAUUACCACGGUAGGAUUCAUGACUGGGGUGAAGUCGUAACAAGGUAG
This 1462-nucleotide ribosomal RNA is filed under the name uncultured Bordetella sp. RNAcentral describes it as "partial 16S-23S ribosomal RNA intergenic spacer". It matches the Rfam family "Bacterial small subunit ribosomal RNA". Lineage: Bacteria; Pseudomonadati; Pseudomonadota; Betaproteobacteria; Burkholderiales; Alcaligenaceae. The record is from RNAcentral.